RNAcentral lists this ribosomal RNA (492 nucleotides) under uncultured bacterium. Its description in RNAcentral is "partial 16S ribosomal RNA". It matches the Rfam family "Bacterial small subunit ribosomal RNA", at positions 29 to 507 of the family's 1533-position model. The record is from RNAcentral.
AGUGAACGCUGGCGGUAGGCCUAACACAUGCAAGUCGAGCGGCAGCACAGUAGGAGCUUGCUCUUACGGGUGGCGAGUGGCGGACGGGUGAGGAAUACAUCGGAAUCUACUUUUUCGUGGGGGAUAACGUAGGGAAACUUACGCUAAUACCGCAUACGACCUACGGGUGAAAGCAGGGGAUCUUCGGACCUUGCGCGAUUGAAUGAGCCGAUGUCGGAUUAGCUAGUUGGCGGGGUAAAGGCCCACCAAGGCGACGAUCCGUAGCUGGUCUGAGAGGAUGAUCAGCCACACUGGAACUGAGACACGGUCCAGACUCCUACGGGAGGCAGCAGUGGGGAAUAUUGGACAAUGGGCGCAAGCCUGAUCCAGCCAUACCGCGUGGGUGAAGAAGGCCUUCGGGUUGUAAAGCCCUUUUGUUGGGAAAGAAAAGCAGCAGGUUAAUACCCCGCUGUUCUGACGGUACCCAAAGAAUAAGCACCGGCUAACUUCGUG